RNAcentral lists this ribosomal RNA (252 nucleotides) under uncultured bacterium. Its description in RNAcentral is "partial 16S ribosomal RNA". It matches the Rfam family "Bacterial small subunit ribosomal RNA", at positions 524 to 776 of the family's 1533-position model. The record is from RNAcentral.
UACGUACCGUACGAACGUUAUUCGGAAUUACUGGGCUUAAAGGGUUUGUAGGCGGCCUUGUAAGUCAGGUGUGAAAUCCCUCGGCUCAACCGAGGAAUCAGCGCUUGAUACUGCAGGCUUGAGGGAGACAGGGGUAAGCGGAACUGAUGGUGGAGCGGUGAAAUGCGUUGAUAUCAUCAGGAACACCGGUGGCGAAAGCGGCUUACUGGGUCUCUUCUGACGCUGAGGACGAAAGCUAGGGUAGCGAACGGG